CACUCCUGCGGGAGGCAGCAGUGGGGAAUUUUGGACAAUGGGCGAAAGCCUGAUCCAGCAAUGCCGCGUGAGUGAAGAAGGCCUUCGGGUUGUAAAGCUCUUUUGUCAGGGAAGAAACGGUGAGAGCUAAUAUCUCUUGCUAAUGACGGUACCUGAAGAAUAAGCACCGGCUAACUACGUGCCAGCAGCCGCGGUAAUACGUAGGGUGCAAGCGUUAAUCGGAAUUACUGGGCGUAAAGCGUGCGCAGGCGGUUUUGUAAGUCUGAUGUGAAAUCCCCGGGCUCAACCUGGGAAUUGCAUUGGAGACUGCAAGGCUAGAAUCUGGCAGAGGGGGGUAGAAUUCCACGUGUAGCAGUGAAAUGCGUAGAUAUGUGGAGGAACACCGAUGGCGAAGGCAGCCCCCUGGGUCAAGAUUGACGCUCAUGCACGAAAGCGUGGGGAGCAAACAGGAUUAGAUACCCUAGUAGUCCC
RNAcentral lists this ribosomal RNA (471 nucleotides) under uncultured organism. RNAcentral describes it as "partial 16S ribosomal RNA". It matches the Rfam family "Bacterial small subunit ribosomal RNA", at positions 334 to 797 of the family's 1533-position model. The record is from RNAcentral.